RNAcentral lists this ribosomal RNA (335 nucleotides) under uncultured bacterium. RNAcentral describes it as "bacterial SSU rRNA". It matches the Rfam family "Bacterial small subunit ribosomal RNA", at positions 8 to 334 of the family's 1533-position model. The record is from RNAcentral.
AGGGUUUGAUUCUGGCUCAGGAUGAACGCUAGCUACAGGCUUAACACAUGCAAGUCGAGGGGCAUCGGGUGAGGGCUUUUGCCAUCACGCCGGCGACCGGCGCACGGGUGAGUAACACGUAUCCAACCUGCCGUCUACUCUUGGACAGCCUUCUGAAAGGAAGAUUAAUACAAGAUGGCAUCAUGAGUCCACAUGUUCACAUGAUUAAAGGUAUUCCGGUAGACGAUGGGGAUGCGUUCCAUUAGAUAGUAGGCGGGGUAACGGCCCACCUAGUCUUCGAUGGAUAGGGGUUCUGAGAGGAAGGUCCCCCACAUUGGAACUGAGACACGGUCCAA